UACGGGGGGGGCAAGCGUUGUUCGGAAUUACUGGGCGUAAAGGGCGCGUAGGCGGAAUGGCAAGUCGGUCGUGAAAUCCUUCGGCUCAACCGAAGAACGUCGAUCGAAACUGCCGUUCUUGAGGAUUGCAGAGGAGACUGGAAUUCCCGGUGUAGCGGUGAAAUGUGUAGAGAUCGGGAGGAACACCGGUGGCGAAGGCGGGUCUCUGGGCAAUUCCUGACGCUGAGGCGCGAAAGCGUGGGGAGCGAACAGG
This 253-nucleotide ribosomal RNA is filed under the name uncultured bacterium. RNAcentral describes it as "partial 16S ribosomal RNA". It matches the Rfam family "Bacterial small subunit ribosomal RNA", at positions 524 to 776 of the family's 1533-position model. The record is from RNAcentral.